RNAcentral lists this ribosomal RNA (345 nucleotides) under uncultured Desulfobulbus sp. RNAcentral's name for it is "partial 16S ribosomal RNA". Lineage: Bacteria; Pseudomonadati; Thermodesulfobacteriota; Desulfobulbia; Desulfobulbales; Desulfobulbaceae. The record is from RNAcentral.
GGAGUCUGGCCCGUAUUCCAGUGCCAGUGUGGCGGAUCAUCCUCUCAGACCCGCUAACCAUCGUCGCCUAGGUAGGCCAUUACCCCACCUACUAGCUAAUGGUACGCAGACCCCUCUUCAUACAGUAGCUUAAACCAGAGGCCACCUUUCCUCGCCUCACUUAUGAAAUGCGAGGGUAUCCGGUAUUAGUACCCCUUUCGGCGUGUUAUCCCGGAUAUGAAGACAGGUUAUCUACGCGUUACUCACCCGUGCGCCACUCUACUCACGGCCGAAGCCGCUUUCGCGUUCGACUUGCAUGUGUUAAGCACGCCGCCAGCGUUCGUUCUGAGCCAGGAUCAAACUACU